UCACGAGAGAACAGAGGAAGUGGAAAGGAGAAACUGUCAAAAGAUAUUUCAACAAAAGUUCCAGGACACACCCAGGAAACAGACCCACACCAACUCAUCUUAUGAAAAUGAAGACAAUUAGGGAAAGAAAGCCCUCUGUAAGGUAGGGUGGGAAAUGUCACACACAGAAGAGAAAUUAGAGCCAUUCUGAGUUUGCUAAACAACAGUAAUGGAGCCAGCGAAGUUCUUAAGAAAAAUUAACUCCUAUCUAUAAUCCGCUAUGAGUCAAACUAUCAGUCAAGAGGAAAGGUAGAACAAAGGCAUCUUACAUCAGCAAGACUUGAAAAUCGUUUACCUCCCACAUAUCCGUUCCUCAGGCAACUGUGGCGUGCCGCACCGGAUGACAGGUCCAAUAAAGGCAACAAUAAAUACUUGACUGCUCCGAAGCUGAACCGAGGGGAUGCUAUGCUCCUUUGCUUCAUUACAGAUCCCCUCGUUACGGCAUCAGCUGAGCGCCGCCCAGCUCUCCUGUGAAGAUUUAUCAUGUGUGUGGUGGCCACUUUGAAUGGAGAGAUUUCUGUAUUUGCAAUGUGCACGUGUUGGGAGGCACAUAGGAGCAAGAUCAUACACCUUGGAACUACAAUACCAACCAGUCUAGAUUAUGCACCUCUCCAGCUGAACGGAAUCCAUAUUCUGCUAGUCACUGAAGACAGAACGUCAGGGUGUUUUGUUUUACACCCUUGGAAGGGAAGGAUGUUGUAAAGUGCUCAGAACACAUCGAGUAUUUAAAAA
This is a long non-coding RNA of Peromyscus eremicus (cactus mouse), 771 nucleotides long. RefSeq lists it as uncharacterized. The transcript has 3 exons. NCBI's taxonomy places the organism in Eukaryota, Metazoa, Chordata, Mammalia, Rodentia, Cricetidae. The record is from RefSeq and is a predicted model, not a curated record.